GGGCACAUGGUGUAGUUGGUUAUCACGUCCGCUCAGCAUCUGAUGUGCCUGGUUCAAUUCCCAGUGUGUCCA
Non-coding RNA from Phanerochaete carnosa HHB-10118-sp, 72 nucleotides. The record is from the annotation of a RefSeq genome assembly. Lineage: Eukaryota; Fungi; Basidiomycota; Agaricomycetes; Polyporales; Phanerochaetaceae.